Molecule: transfer RNA, 71 nt
Filed under: Caudoviricetes sp.
Lineage: Duplodnaviria; Heunggongvirae; Uroviricota; Caudoviricetes
Description: tRNA-Pro
Rfam family: tRNA
About the family: Transfer RNA (tRNA) molecules are approximately 80 nucleotides in length. Their secondary structure includes four short double-helical elements and three loops (D, anti-codon, and T loops). Further hydrogen bonds mediate the characteristic L-shaped molecular structure. tRNAs have two regions of fundamental functional importance: the anti-codon, which is responsible for specific mRNA codon recognition, and the 3' end, to which the tRNAs corresponding amino acid is attached (by aminoacyl-tRNA synthetases). tRNAs cope with the degeneracy of the genetic code in two manners: having more than one tRNA (with a specific anti-codon) for a particular amino acid; and 'wobble' base-pairing, i.e. permitting non-standard base-pairing at the 3rd anti-codon position.
Source: RNAcentral
GUGGGUGUAGUUUAGCGGUAAAACCCGUGUUUUGGGAACACGAGUCGAAUGUUCGAUUCAUUCCACCCGCA